RNAcentral lists this long non-coding RNA (6190 nucleotides) under Selaginella moellendorffii. RNAcentral's name for it is "long non-coding RNA (SMOE_LNC002376)". The record is from RNAcentral. Lineage: Eukaryota; Viridiplantae; Streptophyta; Lycopodiopsida; Selaginellales; Selaginellaceae.
AUGGUUAAAUGUAUGGGUUUAUCGUGACGAUCCGUGGCGGCGUCUGGAUCGCUCACGUGGCUGUGUGCUGACGUGGUCUUGUUCACUCCCACACUCCUCCUCAAGGCCAACGUCUAAGGUCAGCCCAAGUGCCUUCGUGAAGACUUCAUGUUUAACACGAGGAAGUGGUUUUGUUAGCACGUCCGCUAGCAUGGAGUUUGUCGGGCAGAACUCCAGCUCGAUCAUUCCUCUCUGGAUCUGGAGUUCUUGGUCAAAGCUAUUGCAGACUGGUUGUCACACAAUAGCUUGACCACGCCCGUGUUGAUUUGUAGAUCCUGGAGAAGUCCCUUCAGCCACGCUGCUUCCUUGGUUGCAGCUGCUGCAGCUAUGUACUCAGCCUCGGUACUCGACAUCGCUGUAAUAGCCUGUCGUUUGCUGCACCAGCUUGCGACAUUUCCAUUUAGCAGGAAAACGUAGCCUGUGGUUGACUUCCUGUUGUCUGGAUCCCCGGCCCAAUCAGCAUCAGAGUAACCAGCCAGCUUGUUGCCGCUCUCGCCUCUGGAGUACUUUAAACUUAGCUGGUUAGUCCCUGCCACGUACCUCAUAAUACGUUUCAAAGCCUGCCAGUGUGCUGUGGAGGGACGGUCCAGGUACUUCGCCACUGUUCCCACAGCAUACGCAAGGUCAGGCCGAGUGGAGAUUACCAGGUAGAUCAGGCUGCCGACCAUAGAGCGAUAGACUGCUCUAGAUGCUUUCUCCUCCUCGGGAGAUUGAUCAAGGUACUCUCCACUCUCAGCAGAUAAUUUCGUGCCUGUUUCCAUGGGAGUAGCAACCGGAUUAACAUGAGCAAGGCCAUACCUCUGGAGCACGUCGGAAACAUAUUUUGCCUGGCUUAGCUCCAGAGUGCCUCGUUCCCUGUUGCGCGUCACCUGGAUACCGAGGCAGAAAUGCAACUCACCGAGGUCUUUCAUGGCAAAUUUAGCGCCAAGGUACGUUUUAAAUUUGUGGAUCAAACGUAGCUGAUUUGCCACGAGAAUAGCAUCGUCCACAUAUAGCGCAAGGAACAAAUAGCCCUCAGCGUCAAAAUAUAUGUAGAGGUUACAAUCAGCAGCACUGCGCACGAAACCAAGGGAAAUUAGAAAAGAAUCUAUUUUCGUGUACCAUUGGUGCUUGAGUCCGUAGAGAGCUUUGUUAAGCUUGCAAACGAGGUGUUCUUCUCCAGGCUGGAUAAAACCAGGAGGCUGAGCCAUAUACACCUCUUCAUCGAUGUCGCCGUUAAGGAACGCAGUACAAACGUCAAGUUGAUGGAGCUCGAGAUCCAAUUCUGCAGCUAAGAUUAGUAGCAUACGAAUGGUUGUGAGUUUCACCACCGGGCUGUAAGUCUCCGAGUAGUCCAGCCCAUGAACUUGAGAAAAUCCGCGUGCCACAAAUCUCGCCUUGUAGCGCUCAAUGCUUCCAUCAGCGUUGUACUUUUUCUUAAACAACCACUUGGAUGAGACGAGCUUUCUGCGAGCUGGAAGUUCAACCAGCGACCAAGUGUUGUUUUUCUGGAGAGAAUCAUACUCCUCCUGCAUAGCUGCCUGCCAGUGUUCAGCUUCUGGUCCAUGUAGAGCCGCUUGGGGACCGAGAGAGGCAGGUGGAGCCGACAGAGCCCAGAAGUAGGCACGCUUUCCUAUAGGCAUCGCCUCCUUGGCUUUAAGAGAUGGUUUCACGACACGACCCGAGCGUGUCACCACUGCUGUGCCGGCUGGAGGAGGUGGUAGCUUGGGAAUGCUAGGAGGAGUGGUGGCAUCUUGAUAUAACUCGUCGCCAACGAACAGGUCAGCCACAAGCGUGGAAAGAUCUGGCUGUUCAUUGGUGCUUGAGGAUGCAGCCGCUGUGGCCUGUGGAGUCGUCAGAGGAGGUGUCGAAGGAAGAGAAGUACCGUGAUCAGCUCCUCCUGCCAGAUCGCCUCCUUCGGGCGCUCCUUCAGCAACUCCUCCUGGCUCUGCAGCGGCUGGAUUGUCUGGUGCUGGGUGGAGAUGUGGAACGUCGUCCAAAAUCUCAGAAAGAUCCACCAGAGAUGGUGGAGAAACAGGAGGGAGUCUCAGGGUAUCUCGAUAAAGACGAGCUUCAUCAAACACCACAUCUCGGCUCACCACCAGUUUCCUGCGCUGGCAGUUAUAGAGUCGAUAGGCUUUUACCUGGGUGUGAUAGCCCAUGAAGAUGCAUUUCUCGCUCUUGGGAUCCAGCUUCCGCCGCUGAACAUCGGGGAUGUGGGCGUAGGCUAUGCAACCAAACACCCUCAAGUGCCCUAACUUGGGGCGCUUCCCAGUCCAUACUUGAAACGGCACCUGUCCUGUGGAACGUGUUGGCAGCCGGUUCCGGAGGUACACUGCUGUGUUGAGUGCCUCUCCCCAAAACACCUUGGGCAUGCCAGCGUGCUGGAGAAGGCAGCGUACACAGUCCAUAAGUGUCCUGUUCAGGCGCUCGGCGACCCCAUUCUGCUGCGAGGUGUGGGCUGCGGUGUACUCGUGGUGGAUGCCAGCCUGAGCAAGAAAUGCCAGAAACUCCUUGCUCAUAUACUCACCGCCGCCAUCUGAACGUAGUGUCCGGAUGGUACAGCCAGUGGCAUUUUCUGCCCAGCUUUUGUAGACCUGGAAGUGAUGGUAGACCUCUCCCUUGUGUGCCAUGAGAACAGCCACCGCAUAGCGUGAGUAGUCGUCAAUGAACGAAACGAAGUACCGCUUGUGACUGAGAGUUGCUUCUGGCACAUGGCACACAUCCGUGUGUACCAGCUGAAGAAAUCCUGAGGCGCCAUCUUCUGGACUUCUGCGUGGAAAGGGUAGUCUUGGCUGCUUCCCCAGUUGGCACGUCUCACAUACUCCCAGUUGGCUGGCACCGGUGAGGGUAAAGUCAUCAGCAAGCUUGUGGCUAGCAAGUAGCUGGAUGUCGUGAGAAUUGGCAUGCCCUAGCCGAGCGUGCCAGAGCUGGAGAGAGUUGGCAGCCCAGGAGCUGGGGCGAAUUGCAAGCAAAUGCCCCUGCUCGUGAGUUGAGAGGAUCAACUGAGCAUUGAGCUUGUAGAGAGUCUCAGCUCGUCUACCAAAAGCUACUGGAUGGCCAGUCUCGUCAAAGAUGGUGCAUCCGUCUGCGUUGAAGAGUGUUGAGAAGCCUUGAUCUGCUGCUACACCAACUGAGAACACUGUCUGUCCUGCUUCUGGUACGUAGUAGACCUGGUUCACGAGCUUCUCAGCUCCACUCUCCAACUUUAUGACCGUUCCUUGUCCUUCCACUGUUAAGGGGCGUUUGUCUCCUACAAAGACUUGCUUCUCCUGCUCCAGUGGCCGGUACUUGUGAAAAGCUCUCUUCAAUGGUGUGAGGUGCAUCGAGGCUCCAGAAUCCAUCCAGAGCACUUCGGCUUCGGACACAGUGGAUGAAGAUGCAGCGAGCGUCAUCAUCAACAUCGUGUCAGGUUGGCGUGAAGAAGAGCUUCUUUCAGCGCGAGCUUUCUCUGCGGCUUUCUUGAUCCGGCAUUCACGCUCCACGUGGCCAGCUUUGCCGCAGUAGUUACAUGGGCCCUUGCGUUUUUUAUUGGUUGCAAAUCCAGGGCUGGGAGAAGGGCUCUUUUGUCCUCGAACAGGGCCAUCUCGUUUCUUCCCACCCGAUUGCUUUCCCAUGAUCAAGGCCUGCUCCACCCGAGCAGCCUGAGAGGGCGCCUUUUGUCUCCGCUCGUUCUGCUUUCGUUCUUCCUCGAUCAGGUCCGAGUAGAGCGAGUCCAAGUCCUUUCCAGGUACAGCCGAGAGCAUCGAUGCGAAAGGUUGGAGAUCAGGGGAGACAGAGCUUAGAAGGAAUGCCUUAGCUUGGUCAAUGGUGAUUGCCGCUUCCGCGUCCUUCAGCUCGGUGAUCAUCGCUUUAAACUUUCCAAUGUAAGUGGCCAUGGUGUCAUCAGGUUGCAUUCUCAUCGUGAAGAACCUUUGUGUUAGCACCACCUUAGCAUUGGCAGCUUUGGCAGCGAAGAUUUGUGUAAGGGAUGUCCAGUUCUGGUGGGCUGUUUUGGUAAGAUCAAGGAGAUGAACGAAUUCAUCCCCAAGACCUAACCCGAUGACAGAGAGCGCUUUUCGAUUCUUGGAGUCCCAGUCGAGCCGUUGGGUUACAUCCGCAGCAGCCGGACGUUGAGUCGUUCCAUCCACUAUAGGCCAGCAGUCCUUGGCCAAAAGGAUAAGCUGUACUUUUGUUUUCCAAGUGGAGAAAUUCUGUCCCGUGAACUUUUGGAGAAGUUUCUCCCAGCCCCCAGAGUCCCAAGAAUUUCCUGCUGCGUUAGCAGAAGACAUUCUAUCUAUUAAUCUAAGAAUAGAUUAAACAGAGAAUUUAGAAAGGACGGCGUGGAGAAGAAUCGUGAAAAACUCGGCCGCAACAAGGGCACACCAUCCGGCAGGCUGGGCAAAGAGCUUGUUGGCGCUUUCGGUCCUGGAUCUUCCGCUCCACCCGCGCCAGCACUGCCAAAGCCCUCGCGCGCUCCUGAGCCAAGGGUUCCUGGCCCCUUUGAUUCUUCAUCUGCCACUGUCCUCUUGCCAUUAGAUCGUUCGCUGCUCCGAUACCAUGUGGUAUUAUGAAACGGUGUUGUGUUAUUAUUAUGACGGUUGAUACACGGUUAAAUGUAUGGGUUUAUCGUGACGAUCCGUGGCGGCGUCUGGAUCGCUCACGUGGCUGUGUGCUGACGUGGUCUUGUUCACUCCCACAUUACCAUGCUGCCAGAUCUUGCUGGACGGAGUCUGGGCCUACACGCACAAAAGACAACGACCAGUCACUCACUGGAGCUUUGGCACGCACGCCUGGGGCAUCCUAGUGCUGAUAGAAUCAAGCAGCUCACACGCGAGCAGAUGGUUGAAGGUCUAGACCUGGACCCAAGAGCCGUUCUUCCAUUUUGCCAGGGCUGUCAGCUAGGAAAAUCUACUCGCCAACCUUUCCCCAAGACUGGAGCAUCUCGAGCUACAGAGCUCAUGGAACUUGUACACACUGAUGUGUGUGGCCCGAUGGCCACCACAGCAGUGGGAGGUAUCCAAUACUUUAUCAGUUUCAUUGAUGACUACAGUCGUCGCACUAUGAUCUACCCUAUGGCUCGCAAAUCCCAAUCGUUACACUACUUCCAGACUUUCAAGGAUAUGGGAGAAACACAAACUGGGAAAAUGCUCAAGCGAUUGAGAAGUGAUGGUGGAGGCGAAUUCACUUCCAAUGCUUUCAACCAGCUGUGUGAGCAAGGAGGGAUUGUGCGAGAACUUACAACGCGAGAGACUCCACAACAGAAUGGCGUAGCUGAGCGCAAGAAUCGCACACUAGUGGAGAGUGCUCGGGCAAUGCUACUUUCCAGUGGUUUGCCUCGCAGCUUCUGGUUUCACGCUGUCUUGACGGCGAACUAUCUCCAGAACCGGCUCCCCACCUCUGCCCUUGCUGACAUCACUCCUGAAGAAGCAUGGAGUGGCAAGAAACCUACAGUUACGCAUCUGAGAAUAUUCGGGUGUGAAGCGUGGGCACACAUCCCUGAUGGAAUGCGCAAGAAAUUGGAUCCCAAGAGCCAGAAGGCUGUGUUUGUGGGCUACAGCCUCGAUCACAAAGCCUAUCGUCUCUGGAAUCCAAUCACGAAGCAGGAGAUCCUGAGCAGAGAUGUGGUUUUCAACGAGAAUUCGUUUCUUCCUUCUAGUCAAGGUUCUACUUCCAGACCUACCUUGACCGAAGAAAAUGACGUUGAAGCGGAACAAGAUCAGUUGACUGUCGGCACGAUCACUGUGCCGCUUCAAACAGUCCCUACACAACAACCCAUGCCCGCUUCUACUCCAACACCACCAACCCCGCCGCCUCCUCCAGAUCCUCUACGCAGAUCGAUCCGCACAAGGCGGCCUACUGAGCGUCUCAUCGAGACAAUGGUCUCCUCUCGUGCAGCUGGGACUCCUACUGUUCCGAGGACCUAUGGAGAAGCCAUGGCCUCACAGGAAGCGUCUUACUGGCGUGUAGCAAUGGAAGCCGAGAUUGCUUCACAGCAAAAGAACGAGACACAUGUUCUUGUUCCAACUGUGCCUUCCAAUCGCCAGAUUAUCAAGAGCAUGUGGGUGUAUGCUCUGAAGCUUAAUCCUGAUGGCUCGGUUCGCUACAAGGCGCGAUUGGUGGCGAAAGGAUGCUCGCAAGUUCCUGGACUUGACUACAACGACACCUUUGCUCCAGUGGUUAAGCAUUCUAC